This 363-nucleotide unclassified non-coding RNA is filed under the name uncultured bacterium. RNAcentral describes it as "contains 16S-23S intergenic spacer region". The record is from RNAcentral.
UCCCCGUUACCGAGGCAGUCUAAAUAGAAAAAUUCAACUAUUUACAAGGGUUGCGCUCGUUGAUGGACUUAACCAAACAUCUCACGACACGAGCUGACGACGGCCAUGCAUCACCUGUCACCUGAUUCCCGAAGGCACUCUCUCCUUUCGAAAAGAUUCCAGGGAUGUCAAGCCUUGGUAAGGUUCUUCGCUUACCAUCGAAUUAAACAACACGCUCCACCGCUUGUGCGGGUCCCCGUCAAUUCCUUUAUGUUUUAAGCUUGCGCUCGUACUCCACAGGCGGGAUGCUUAACGCGUUAGCUUCGCUACUACUCGGGUCGAUACGAAUAACAGCUAGCAUCCAUAGUUUACGGCGUGGACUAC